GAUGAACGCUGGCGGCGUGCUUAACACAAGCAAGUCGAACGGUGAAGCCAAGCUUGCUUGGUGGAUCAGUGGCGAACGGGUGAGUAACACGUGAGCAACCUGCCCUGGACUCUGGGAUAAGCGCUGGAAACGGCGUCUAAUACAGGAUAUGAGCCUCUUCCGCAUGGUGGGGGUUGGAAAGAUUUUUUGGUCUGGGAUGGGCUCGCGGCCUAUCAGCUUGUUGGUGAGGUAAUGGCUCACCAAGGCGUCGACGGGUAGCCGGCCUGAGAGGGUGACCGGCCACACUGGGACUGAGACACGGCCCAGACUCCUACGGGAGGCAGCAGUGGGGAAUAUUGCACAAUGGGCGAAAGCCUGAUGCAGCAACGCCGCGUGAGGGAUGACGGCCUUCGGGUUGUAAACCUCUUUUAGCAGGGAAGAAGCGAAAGUGACGGUACCUGCAGAAAAAGCGCCGGCUAACUACGUG
Molecule: ribosomal RNA, 466 nt
Filed under: uncultured bacterium
Lineage: Bacteria
Description: partial 16S ribosomal RNA
Rfam family: Bacterial small subunit ribosomal RNA
Source: RNAcentral